AGGCCCGUAGCUCAGCCGGUGAGAGCGCCGGUCUUAUAAGCCGGAGGUCGCGGGUUCAAGUCCCGCCGGGCCUA
RNAcentral lists this transfer RNA (74 nucleotides) under Gemmatimonas sp. SG8_28. RNAcentral describes it as "tRNA-Ile". It matches the Rfam family "tRNA". From Rfam's summary of the family: Transfer RNA (tRNA) molecules are approximately 80 nucleotides in length. Their secondary structure includes four short double-helical elements and three loops (D, anti-codon, and T loops). Further hydrogen bonds mediate the characteristic L-shaped molecular structure. tRNAs have two regions of fundamental functional importance: the anti-codon, which is responsible for specific mRNA codon recognition, and the 3' end, to which the tRNAs corresponding amino acid is attached (by aminoacyl-tRNA synthetases). tRNAs cope with the degeneracy of the genetic code in two manners: having more than one tRNA (with a specific anti-codon) for a particular amino acid; and 'wobble' base-pairing, i.e. permitting non-standard base-pairing at the 3rd anti-codon position. The record is from RNAcentral. Lineage: Bacteria; Pseudomonadati; Gemmatimonadota; Gemmatimonadia; Gemmatimonadales; Gemmatimonadaceae.